UUUAAGGUGCGCCGUCGCUGCAAAAUCAGCGGCCGGAUUUAGCGAUCCGAAUA
RNAcentral lists this non-coding RNA (53 nucleotides) under Pseudomonas savastanoi pv. phaseolicola 1448A. The record is from RNAcentral. Lineage: Bacteria; Pseudomonadati; Pseudomonadota; Gammaproteobacteria; Pseudomonadales; Pseudomonadaceae.